Molecule: ribosomal RNA, 1362 nt
Filed under: uncultured marine bacterium
Lineage: Bacteria
Description: bacterial SSU rRNA
Rfam family: Bacterial small subunit ribosomal RNA
Source: RNAcentral
AGGACGAACGCUGGCGGCAUGCCUAACACAUGCAAGUCGAACGAGAAAGUUCCUUCGGGAGCGAUUAAAGUGGCGCACGGGUGAGUAACGCGUAGACAAUCUGCCCUUCAGUCUGGGACAACUUUUCGAAAGGAGAGCUAAUACCGGAUAACAAUGUUUAACAUAAGUUAAGUAUUUGAAAGCUUUAUGUGCUGAAGGAGGGGUCUGCGUCCCAUUAGCUAGUUGGUAAGGUAAAGGCUUACCAAGGCAACGAUGGGUAGCGGGUUUGAGAGGACGAUCCGCCACACUGGAACUGAGACACGGUCCAGACUCCUACGGGAGGCAGCAGUGGGGAAUAUUGCACAAUGGAGGAAACUCUGAUGCAGCAAUGUCGCGUGAGUGAAGAAGGCCCUUGGGUCGUAAAGCUCUUUUAUGGGGGGAAGAUGAUGACGGUACCCCAAGAAUAAGCACCGGCUAACUAUGUGCCAGCAGCCGCGGUAAUACAUAGGGUGCGAGCGUUGUUCGGAAUUACUGGGCGUAAAGGGCGCGCAGGCGGAAUAGUAAGUCGGAGGUGAAAGCCCGGGGCUCAACCCCGGAGGGUCUUUCGAAACUGCUAAUCUAGAGAGGGUCAGGGGCCGGCAGAAUUCCUGGUGUAGAGGUGAAAUUCGUAGAUAUCAGGAGGAAUACCGGUGGCGAAGGCGGCCGGCUGGGGCCACUCUGACGCUGAGGCGCGAAAGCGUGGGGAGCAAACAGGAUUAGAUACCCUGGUAGUCCACGCCGUAAACGAUGAGCACUGGACGUCCGGAGGGUUCGACCCUUCUGGGUGUCUCAGCUAACGCAUUAAGUGCUCCGCCUGGGGAGUACGGUCGCAAGACUAAAACUCAAAGGAAUUGACGGGGGCCCGCACAAGCGGUGGAACAUGUGGUUUAAUUCGAUGCAACGCGAAGAACCUUACCUGGUCUUGACAUCCUCGGACCGCUUCAGAGAUGAAGUUUCCUCUUCGGAGGCCGAGUGACAGGUGCUGCAUGGCUGUCGUCAGCUCGUGUCGUGAGAUGUUGGGKNUAARUCCCGCAACGAGCGCAACCCCYMNNNCCCUUAAUUGCCAUCGGGUUAUGCCGGGCACUUUAGGGGGACUGCCGGUGACAAGCCGGAGGAGGGUGGGGAUGACGUCAAGUCCUCAUGGCCUUUAUGACCAGGGCUACACACGUGUUACAAUGGGAGUUACAGAGGGAAGCUAAGCCGCGAGGCCAUGCCAAUCCCAGAAAAACUUUCUCAGUUCGGAUCGCAGUCUGCAACUCGACUGCGUGAAGCUGGAAUCGCUAGUAAUCGCGGAUCAGCACGCCGCGGUGAAUACGUUCCCGGGCCUUGUACACACCGCCCGUC